Molecule: long non-coding RNA, 730 nt
Filed under: Pongo abelii (Sumatran orangutan)
Lineage: Eukaryota; Metazoa; Chordata; Mammalia; Primates; Hominidae
Description: lincRNA
Source: RNAcentral
ACCUGCCUGUGGAGGAAAUGCCAGUUUAUUAAUGAGUGUGGAUUAAUGAGUACGAUCACUCCAAGCCCAUCCAGGGGCAGCAGAAGAAGCCCUUUGAGGAGCACUGGAGGAAGCACACCCUGUCCUAUGUGGACGUCAGCACUGGGAAGGUCACCCUGGAAUAUAGACCCGUAAUUGACAAAACUUUGAAUGAGGCUGACUGUGCCGCCAUCCCCCCAGCCAUUCACUCCUGCUGAUGAGACAAGAUGCGGUGAUGACAGAAUCAGCUUUUGUAAUUAUGUAUAAUAACUCAUGUAUGUGUCCAUGUCAUAAGUGUCUUCAUACGCUUCUGCACUCCAGGGAAGAAGGAGUACAUUGAGGGGAGAUUGGCACCCAGUGGCCGGGAGCUUGCCAGGAACCCAGUGGCCAGGGAGCGUGGCACUUACCUUUGUCCCUUGCUUCAUUCUUGUGACAUGAUAAAACUGGGCACAGCUCUUAAAUAAAAUAUAAAUGAACAAACUUUCUUUUAUUUCCAAAUCCAUUUACAAUAUUUUACUGUUGUGACUUGUCAUAUUUGUUGACCUAAAAAUCAAAUGUAAUUGUCUUUGUAUUCUGUCACAUCAAAAUCCAGAUAUUUUGUUGUAGUUUUUCUUUUUUUUUUUGAGACAGGAUCGGUGCAGUGGUGCAGUCUCAGCUCACUGCAGCCUCAAACUCCUGGGCAGCUCAGGUGAUCUUCCCGACUCAGCCUUCU